CCUACGGGGGGCUGCAGUAAGGAAUCUUCCACAAUGGGGGCAACCCUGAUGGAGCAACACCGCGUGAAGGAUGAAGGCCCUCGGGUCGUAAACUUCUUUUAUAAGUGAGGAAUAUGACGGUAACUUAUGAAUAAGGGUCGGCUAACUACGUGCCAGCAGCCGCGGUCAUACGUAGGACCCAAGCGUUAUCCGGAGUGACUGGGCGUAAAGAGUUGCGUAGGCGGUCGUAUAAGCGAAUAGUGAAAUCUGGUGGCUCAACCAUCAACCCAUUGUUCGAACUGUACGACUCGAGAAUGGUAGAGGUAACUGGAAUUUCGUGUGUAGGAGUGAAAUCCGUAGAUAUACGAAGGAACACCAAUGGCGUAGGCAGGUUACUGGACCAUUUCUGACGCUGAGGCACGAAAGCGUGGGGAGCGAACCGGCUUAGAUACCCUUGUAGUC
RNAcentral lists this ribosomal RNA (441 nucleotides) under uncultured bacterium. RNAcentral describes it as "bacterial SSU rRNA". It matches the Rfam family "Bacterial small subunit ribosomal RNA", at positions 338 to 795 of the family's 1533-position model. The record is from RNAcentral.